This 454-nucleotide ribosomal RNA is filed under the name uncultured Sphingobacteriales bacterium. RNAcentral describes it as "bacterial SSU rRNA". It matches the Rfam family "Bacterial small subunit ribosomal RNA", at positions 924 to 1382 of the family's 1533-position model. Lineage: Bacteria; Pseudomonadati; Bacteroidota; Sphingobacteriia; Sphingobacteriales. The record is from RNAcentral.
CACAAGCGAGGAGCAUGUGGUUAAUUCGAUGAUACGCGAGGAACCUACCUGGGCUCGAACGUAAGAUGACUGUAGGUGAAAGCUUACAUCUCUUCGGAGCAUUUUACGAGGUGCUGCAUGGUUGUCGUCAGCUCGUGCCGUGAGGUGUCGGGUUAAGUCCCAUAACGAGCGCAACCCCUACCUUUAGUUGCCAUCAGGUUAAGCUGGGGACUCUAAAGGAACUGCCUACGCAAGUAGUGAGGAAGCGGGGAUGACGUCAAAUCAGCACGGCCCUUACGUCCAGGGCUACACACGUGCUACAAUGGCCGAUACAGAGGGCAGCUACCUGGUGACAGGAUGCAAAUCUCCAAAGUCGGUCUCAGUUCGGAUCGGAGUCUGCAACCCGACUCCGUGAAGUUGGAUUCGCUAGUAAUCGCGCAUCAGCCAUGGCGCGGUGAAUACGUUCCCGGGCCUU